CCUACGGGUGGCAGCAGUGGGGAAUAUUGCACAAUGGGGGAAACCCUGAUGCAGCGACGCCGCGUGAGUGAAGAAGUAUCUCGGUAUGUAAAGCUCUAUCAGCAGGGAAGAAGAAAGACGGUACUUGACUAAGAAGCCCCGGUUAAUUACGUGCCAGCAGCCGCGGUAAUACGUAGGGGGCAAGCGUUAUCCGGAUUUACUGGGUGUAAAGGGAGCGUAGACGGCUGUGCAAGUCUGAAGUGAAAGCCCCGGGCUCAACCCUGGGACUGCUUUGGAAACUGUGGGGCUGGAGUGCUGGAGAGGUAAGUGGAAUUCCUGGUGUAGCGGUGAAAUGCGUAGAUAUUAGGAGGAACACCAGUGGCGAAGGCGGCUUGCUGGACAGUAACUGACGUUGAGGCUCGAAAGCGUGGGGAGCAAACAGGAUUAGAUACCCUUGUAGUC
Molecule: ribosomal RNA, 441 nt
Filed under: uncultured bacterium
Lineage: Bacteria
Description: partial 16S ribosomal RNA
Rfam family: Bacterial small subunit ribosomal RNA
Source: RNAcentral